This 3174-nucleotide ribosomal RNA is filed under the name Triticum aestivum (bread wheat). RNAcentral's name for it is "partial small subunit ribosomal RNA". Lineage: Eukaryota; Viridiplantae; Streptophyta; Magnoliopsida; Poales; Poaceae. The record is from RNAcentral.
AUGUUUCCUGUUCUUCUGUUGCUUCUGUUGCCAUAUGUACUCCAAUCAGUGGCAGUUAGAGCAUUCAACAAUAGGACUGAUGUAGAUUCUUUGUUGGCGUUCAAGGCAAGUGUAAGCAAUCAGCAUGGUGUCCUAGCUGCAUGGAACACAACUACUGACUUCUGUUUGUGGCCAGGCGUCAGUUGCAGCCUUAAGCACAAGCACAGGGUCAUAGUGCUUAACCUCUCUUCGGAGGGCCUUGGUGGCACGAUCUCACCUUCCAUUGGGAACCUCUCCUUCUUGAGAAUUCUAGACCUCAGAUGGAACAACUUGCAAGGUGAGAUACCUUCAACAAUUGGCCGUCUGUCUCGCCUAAGAUAUCUUGGUUUGUCCAACAACUCACUUCAUGGUGAUGUAAAUGCUGAAUUAAAGAAUUGCACCAGCCUUCGAAGAAUGAAUAUUGCUUCCAAUCGCUUGACUGGAGAAAUUCCUGCUUGGCUCGGAGACUUGUCAAGUCUCGAGGUCAUAGACAUGUUCGCAAACAACUUCACUGGAAUCAUCCCGACAUCGCUUACCAAUCUCUCAGCAGUGAAAGGAAUCUAUUUCACGAGAAACCAACUUGAGGGUGCCAUCCCUGAGGGCCUUGGCAGGUUUGGCAGGCUUGUCUCGAUGGGCCUGUCAGAUAAUCACCUCUCAGGCACCAUCCCUACCUCUCUCUUCAACCUUUCCUCUCUAAUAGGCUUGGGCAUGGCACUAAAUAAUCUGAGCGGUAAACUACCCCCAGAUAUUGGGGAUCACCUCCCAAAUCUCGUGGUCCUACUCCUUGGUGCUAACCACUUUACAGGAAACCUUCCAGCUUCUUUUGUUAACUUAACUAAGAUACGUACACUAGAUGUCUCCUCGAACAACUUCACCGGAAAAUUGCCUCGAGAGAUUGGAAUGCUCUGUCCAGCCUACCUCAAUCUCAGAACAAAUCAGUUCAUUGCAACUACCGUGCAUGACUGGGAAUUCAUAAUGUUGUUGACAAAUUGCACACGGCUCCUUUGGCUUAGCAUAGAAUUCAACCUAUUAUGUGGCGUGCUGCCUAGCUCAGUUGCCAACCUAUCAGCACAACUCCAAGUGCUAUAUGUUGGAGGCAAUGAAAUUUCUGGAGAGAUACCAUUUGGCAUAGGCAAUCUUGUUGGGCUAAAUCGAUUGCAGCUAGGUUUUAACCGAUUUACUGGUGCCUUGCCUGACACCAUCGGAAGGUUAAAUUCACUACAAUACCUGGACAUGACAAAUAACCUACUGACAGGGUUCAUGCCACCCUCCCUUGGAAACUUGACACAACUACUAAUUCUGUACACAGAUAACAACACGUUUGAGGGGACUCUUCCAGCAAGCCUUGGAAGACUACCAGAGAUAACUUCAGCAACCUUUUCAAACAAUAAGUUCACAGGCCCAUUGCCCAAAGACAUCUUUAACAUAUCAUCCCUAGCAGAUGCCCUCGAUUUGUCGAGCAAUUUCUUUCUUGGUCCUCUUCCACCUGAAGUAGGCGACUUGACAAAGCUUGCACGCCUAUACUUGUCACAUAACAACUUGUCAGGGCCCCUACCUGGUGCACUCAGCAAUUGCCAAAGCUUGACAGAACUCAGGUUGGAUGAUAAUUCCUUUGAUAGUAGCAUUCCAUUGUCUAUCAACAAAAUGCGAGGUCUGAUGUUGCUAAAUCUUACAAAGAACACACUUUCAGGCUUGAUUCCAAAAGAUUUAGGGCUAAUGGGUGGCCUAGAACAGUUAUACCUUGCACACAACAACUUGUCUGGUCAUAUCCCAGAAAGCUUGGAAAACAUGGCAUCUUUGUACCAGUUAGACCUGUCCUUCAACCUUCUGGAUGGCAAAGUUCCAUUACGGGGAGUGUUCAGCAAUGCAUCUGGAUUUUCAUUUGGAGGGAAUUUGAGGCUUUGUGGUGGUAUAGUAGAGUUACGUUUGCCCGCAUGCAAAACAAAAUCUGUGGGAUGUGGCUUUAGCAAACGCCAUUUGACUAUCACCCUAGUUACCGCAAUUGCUGGAGUAAUUCUGAUUUUGAGUUUGAUGCUUGUUUUCUUGACAAUGAGAAUGAAAUCAAAAACUCAGUCUACAACCACAAGAGGAUUUCAGUUGAUGGAUGACAGUCAUCCCAGAGUUACAUAUGCUGAAUUGGUCCAAGGAACAAGUGGCUUUGCAGUAAACAAUUUGCUUGGCAGAGGAAGAUAUGGAUCGGUGUAUAAGUGUUGUCUGCUGCUCAAAAAUAUGAUGACCACAGUAGCUGUAAAGGUUUUUGAUCUUCAACAGUCUGGCUCUUUCAAAAGCUUUCAAUCUGAGUGUGAGGCACUUAGUAAGAUCCGCCAUCGCAACUUGAUUAGUGUCAUAACUUGUUGUUCAAGCUCUGACUUGAAUCAAAACGACUUCAAAGCCAUCGUUUUCGAGUUCAUGCCUAAUGGGAGCCUAGAUAGGUGGUUACACAUGGAUGUACAUGUAACACAUCUACUCCAAGGCUUGACAUUGAUGCAGAGACUAAAUAUCACGGUUGAUAUUGCUGAUGCACUAGAUUAUUUGCACAACAAUUGUGAACCACCAAUAAUUCAUUGUGACUUGAAGCCAAGCAACAUUCUUCUCAAUGAGGAUUUAGUUGCUCACGUUGGGGAUUUCGGUCUUGCAAAGAUUCUUCCUGAAUCAACAGUUGAGCAGCUGAUCAAUUCAAAGAGCUCAGUUGGAAUAAGGGGAACAAUUGGAUACGUCGCUCCAGAAUAUGGCGAAGGUGGUCAAGUUUCUUCAUGUGGAGAUGUGUACAGCUUCGGAACUGUCAUCCUCGAGUUGUUUACAGGCAUGGCACCUACUCAUGACAUGUUUAAAGACGGGUUGACCCUGCAGAAACAUGCCCAGAAUGCAUUUCCAGGGAUGCUAAUGCAGAUUGCUGAUCCAUUCCUAUUGUCCACUGAAGAAGCCAAUGCUAAUAGUUUGCAGGAUGGCAGCAACACAAUGGAACACGCCAUAUUCUCUGUCAUGAAGGUUGCGCUAUCAUGCAGCAAGCAAGCACCGACAGAGAGAAUGUGCAUCAAAGAUGCUGCUGCAGCAAUUCACAAGAUAAAGGAUGGCUAUGUUAAAGGAAGACAAAAUGAGGAAGUUGUUAGAGCUAAUGCAAGGCAUUUUGCUGCAGAAUCAACGCCAGCACCCUAA